GUGUUGAGUUUUGUGAUCUGAUCAUGUGAAUGGACUAAAUAAAUGCUCCAAACGUCUCUAUUGGUAAUAAACAAAUGUAACUAACUGUGACUCAUAUAGAUUUCCUUGCAUUCUUUGAGCAAUGAACAUGUAUGCUUGAUUAAGGAAAACAUUUUUGAGUUUUGUGAUGUGAUCGUGUGAAUAAACAAAUGUGACUAACUGUGACUCAUAGCUUUUCUUGCAAACUUUGAGCAAUGACAUAUGUUAGAUUAAGGAAAACAUUGAGAUGAUAAAGAUAUUGAAGUUUUUAUUGCUUGAAUAAAUGAAAUAGUGAAUUUUUGUGAUGCUCUGUAAAUUUACAAGUGCAGUUCUGUGGCAUAAGGGUUGGGAGUUUCCUCUACCUCCACUUGAUUAGGGUCGUAUGCUUCCAUCCAUGGUGUGAUAUCUUUAUUGAUUCCUUGAAAAGUAUAAACCUGUCAGGCAGUAGCUCUAUAAUUCUAGGUCUUAAAAACUUAAGACAGUUAUAGCGAUGGACAAGCAAGGUAGCACUUGAUCACAUUCCAUUCAAGCUCCAACGUUUUCGCCGUCGACCGGUGAGGAAGAGGCCUACCAUUCAAACUGGCUCUGAAUAGGCCCGGCCUGACGGCCGCGGCCUCCACCAAUGUCGCCCUGCAUGUUGCUUGCUUCAUUUAGUUGGCUUCCUCUUCAUCAUGUAUGGCUGGGACUAGGGAUGUUGUAGCGCUACCGUUCGAGAUGCAUAGGCUUGGAUUCUAGGUCUUGACCCGGGCUCAGUGCUCGUCCACGUCCCCGAGAUCAUGCUUUGUAUUCAAAUUCAUAAAUUUUUUGCAUUUCAAAU
This is a non-coding RNA of Salvia hispanica, 835 nucleotides long. NCBI's taxonomy places the organism in Eukaryota, Viridiplantae, Streptophyta, Magnoliopsida, Lamiales, Lamiaceae. The record is from RefSeq and is a predicted model, not a curated record.